Molecule: transfer RNA, 76 nt
Filed under: Methylobacterium radiotolerans
Lineage: Bacteria; Pseudomonadati; Pseudomonadota; Alphaproteobacteria; Hyphomicrobiales; Methylobacteriaceae
Description: tRNA-Arg
Rfam family: tRNA
About the family: Transfer RNA (tRNA) molecules are approximately 80 nucleotides in length. Their secondary structure includes four short double-helical elements and three loops (D, anti-codon, and T loops).
Source: RNAcentral
GCACCCGUAGCUCAGCUGGAUAGAGCGUGCCCUCCGAAGGCAAAGGUCACACGUUCGAAUCGUGUCGGGUGCGCCA